AAAGGUUGAUGGAAAGUUAUUAUGCUGGCUCUGUACUUUAUCGUACAAAAGAGUUUUACAGAAGACGAAAGAACAAAGGAAGAGCCUGGGAUCUUCACAUUCAAAUUCAUCUUCUUCAUCUCUUACUGAGAAAGACCAGCAUCAUCCAAAACAUCAUCACCACCAUCAUCACCAUCACCAUCGUCACAGCAGUAGCCAUCACAAAAUCAGCAAUCUAAGUCCAGAAGAAGAGCAGGGACUGUGGAAACAGAGCCAUAAAUCCUCUGCAACAAUUCAGAAUGAAACUCCAAAGAAAAAGCCCAAAUUGGAAUCUAAGCCAUCUAAUGGAGAUAGGUAAAAAUGAAUUCUUUUAGUGUUAUGAAAAUUCAACUUAGUUGAAUAGUUAUGGUUGAAUGCCAGUUAUUACUAGAUAAAAAAAUAGAAACAUGUAUUUUCUACAUUGACUUGAGUC
Molecule: long non-coding RNA, 451 nt
Filed under: Homo sapiens (human)
Lineage: Eukaryota; Metazoa; Chordata; Mammalia; Primates; Hominidae
Description: non-protein coding lnc-MTMR2-3:3
Source: RNAcentral